AAUGGAUAUGUUAAGCAAAUAAAU
This 24-nucleotide microRNA is filed under the name Amborella trichopoda. RNAcentral describes it as "atr-miR8594.2". The record is from miRBase by way of RNAcentral. Lineage: Eukaryota; Viridiplantae; Streptophyta; Magnoliopsida; Amborellales; Amborellaceae.